RNAcentral lists this long non-coding RNA (1223 nucleotides) under Rattus norvegicus (Norway rat). Its description in RNAcentral is "long non-coding RNA NONRATT027215". Lineage: Eukaryota; Metazoa; Chordata; Mammalia; Rodentia; Muridae. The record is from RNAcentral.
AAAAAUACCCCUUAAAAAGCUAGUAUAAACUCGAAUUGGCAUGUAGAGUGAAAAUUUGGAGGAUGUUUUACUGUGUGUGUGCAUUAGUGGGGAGGUGCGCUGCUGUGGUGUGGAUGUGGACGUGAGAGGAAAAAUCUGGAGUCUGUUCUCGCUCUACCUUUGUGUGGGUUCUGGGGAGUCACGGUCAGGUUACCAGCUCACAUGGCGAGUGCCUUUACCCACUGAGCUAUCUCACGGCUUUAUGUUUUGAGAUAAUCUUGCUAUGUAACCCAGGCUAGCUUCAAAUUUGCCGUCAUUCUUCCUCAGCCUUCCCAGUGGUGGGAUUCUAGGCCUGCGCCACUGUGCUCAACCACAAAGUUCUUCAGAGGCAUGUUAGUCAUUUCGGUCAGUUGAGGGUUUUUUGUUUGUUUAUAUCAGCUUUUGUUUGUUUUUUUAUUCGGUUUUUUUUUUCAAGACAGGGUUUUUCCUGGCUGUUCUCGGAUGCCCUCUGUAAAACCAAGCUGGCCUUGAAUUCACAGAGAUCUUCUGCCUCUGCCUCCUGAGUACUGCGAUCAAAAAAAAAAAAAAAAGGUGUGCGCCACCACCGCCUGGCUUUAAUUGAGAAUUUUAAGGCAACUUUAACCUAAGCUCAGGCUCAACACCCUUCCUGCCCCCAUCCAGCCAUUACGAGAGAUGAAUGAGCACAGUACACAGAACAGAAGAGCCAGGCAGCGGUGGCUCACGCCUUUAAUCCCAGCACUCAGGAGCCGGAGGCAGGCGGAUCUCCGAGUUCAAGGCCAGCCUGGUCUACAGAGAGAGAGUUUCAGGACAGCCAGGGCUACACAGAGAAACCCUGUCUCAAAAAAAAGGAAAACAGAACAAAGAGGACAGACGAGGGGACACUGACAUGAGUCUUCCAUGUAAACUGAAUUAGGUAGGGGCAAGUGGUGUGCGUAAUUCAGUAGUCCUGGUCCAUUGUGGUCUGCCUGACCAUUACCUUGGUUCUGGUUCUGCAUGGUGGAGAGAAGCCAGUGUCAGGGUGAUCUGGGAGGGUGAUCUGUCUGGGUUUUAGGACGACUGGAGACCUUGAAGGAUAUGGUGGUAUUCCUGCCACCAUAUGCUUUUCAUUAAACAUCUCUUUUUUUCAGCCUGAAUAAAAAGUCUUGGCCGUACAAGGUGAGAGCUCUGCUGGUGUUUGGACAUGUCGUGGUAAAUGUGGCGUCUACAGCCACAUCCCUCUAUGU